GAGUUUGAUCAUGGCUCAGAUUGAACGCUGGCGGCAUGCCUUACACAUGCAAGUCGAACGGCAGCAUGAUCUAGCUUGCUAGAUUGAUGGCGAGUGGCGAACGGGUGAGUAAUACAUCGGAACGUGCCCUGUAGUGGGGGAUAACUAGUCGAAAGAUUAGCUAAUACCGCAUACGACCUGAGGGUGAAAGUGGGGGACCGCAAGGCCUCAUGCUAUAGGAGCGGCCGAUGUCUGAUUAGCUAGUUGGUGGGGUAAAGGCCCACCAAGGCGACGAUCAGUAGCUGGUCUGAGAGGACGAUCAGCCACACUGGGACUGAGACACGGCCCAGACUCCCACGGGAGGCAGCAGUGGGGAAUUUUGGACAAUGGGCGAAAGCCUGAUCCAGCAAUGCCGCGUGUGAAGAAGGCCUCGG
RNAcentral lists this ribosomal RNA (413 nucleotides) under uncultured microorganism. RNAcentral's name for it is "bacterial SSU rRNA". It matches the Rfam family "Bacterial small subunit ribosomal RNA", at positions 9 to 420 of the family's 1533-position model. The record is from RNAcentral.